GACGAACGCUGGCGGCGUGCUUAACACAUGCAAGUCGAACGGAAAGGCCCUGCUUUUGUGGGGUGCUCGAGUGGCGAACGGGUGAGUAACACGUGAGUAACCUGCCCUUGACUUUGGGAUAACUUCAGGAAACUGGGGCUAAUACCGGAUAGGAGCUCCUGCUGCAUGGUGGGGGUUGGAAAGUUUCGGCGGUUGGGGAUGGACUCGCGGCUUAUCAGCUUGUUGGUGGGGUAGUGGCUUACCAAGGCUUUGACGGGUAGCCGGCCUGAGAGGGUGACCGGCCACAUUGGGACUGAGAUACGGCCCAGACUCCUACGGGAGGCAGCAGUGGGGAAUAUUGCACAAUGGGCGGAAGCCUGAUGCAGCAACGCCGCGUGCGGGAUGACGGCCUUCGGGUUGUAAACCGCUUAUGCCUGUGACGAAGCGUGAGUGACGGUAAUGGGUAAAGAAGCACCGGCUAACUACGUG
RNAcentral lists this ribosomal RNA (468 nucleotides) under uncultured bacterium. RNAcentral's name for it is "partial 16S ribosomal RNA". It matches the Rfam family "Bacterial small subunit ribosomal RNA", at positions 28 to 507 of the family's 1533-position model. The record is from RNAcentral.